This is a long non-coding RNA of Biomphalaria glabrata, 424 nucleotides long. RefSeq lists it as uncharacterized. The transcript is spliced from 3 exons. Lineage: Eukaryota; Metazoa; Mollusca; Gastropoda; Planorbidae. The record is from RefSeq and is a predicted model, not a curated record.
CAGACAUCUGGCAUAUUCCUAUAAUCAGUAUCAUGGCCUUUGUAUACAACAAAAUUGAUUGGAACUCCUAGACUAGAAAUAUAAUUCAAGAUUUAAAUAAGGCACUGGUCAUAGUUUUAGAAAGUGUGGCUAGCAUUCUGAAGGAAGACAGAGAGAUGGAAAGACAUCAAAGAAUGGGCAGGUCUGCCAAGAAAUGGUUUAUCCAGGGCUAAGUACAGAGAGGAAUAUAGAAGGGCUGUUGACAGAUCUUGUGUGGUGCCCCCAUGGUUCAACAGACUAAUUGAUUGAAAAUAAUACCAGGGUUAUGCUCCUUUGACCAUUGAGUUCCAGGAUGAAGAAUGAAAGACAGAGAGCAAUGUGAAGACAUGAAAGAAUGGGCAGGUCUGCCAUGAAAUGGUUUAUCCAGGGCUAAGUACAGAGAGGA